RNAcentral lists this unclassified non-coding RNA (312 nucleotides) under plant metagenome. Its description in RNAcentral is "partial contains 5.8S ribosomal RNA, internal transcribed spacer 2, and large subunit ribosomal RNA". The stretch from base 1 to 104 matches the Rfam family "5.8S ribosomal RNA", at positions 50 to 154 of the family's 154-position model. The record is from RNAcentral.
GAAAUGCGAUACGUAAUGUGAAUUGCAAAUUCAGUGAAUCAUCGAGUCUUUGAACGCACAUUGCGCCCCCUGGUAUUCCGGGGGGCAUGCCUGUCCGAGCGUCAUUUCUGCCCUCAAGCACGGCUUGUGUGUUGGGCCCCGUCCUCCGAUCCCGGGGGACGGGCCCGAAAGGCAGCGGCGGCACCGCGUCCGGUCCUCGAGCGUAUGGGGCUUUGUAACCCGCUCUGUAGGCCCGGCCGGCGCUUGCCGAUCAACCCAAAUUUUUAUCCAGGUUGACCUCGGAUCAGGUAGGGAUACCCGCUGAACUUAAGC